CAGGUUGGUAUUCUGUUUAUUCAUUUGGUUUAAAAUGAGGGAACAUUGGUUCCAGGUGAGAUGCUCCCUCACCUCAAGCUAUUGACACAGUGCCUGAAAUUUGGUACUUAAGCAGGGACAGGCAUACUGAAAAAAAAAACAAGAAAAACAUUGGUGUAGUUAAAUUCUUAGUCCUCUGAUAACAUAGGAGACAUGAGGGGGAAAAGGACCUGUUUGGGUUUUGGUUGUUCCCUCUCCCCUCUUUUUUUUUUUUUUUUCUUUUUUGUUAAAUUGCACUUUGUAGUACGGAGUGUUUUCACCUUACAACUCCAAAAACUGAUUGGAAAGAACAAUUUUUCAGACAGUGGGGAAUUCAUGUAGGUUGAGCAGAUAGUAUUAUCCAGGUGGAAAAGCAAGUACUGAGCAUCUCAAAAAAGUUUCCUUAAAAUUACAGGAAGUGUACUUUACGUAACUCCAGAGCUAGUAAUAGAAAAGAAAAAAGAAGUAGGGAGAAAUCAGCCAGUUAGAAUUACAAAAAAAAAAAAAAGACAGAACUUAAUAUUAUUUCAUGAUUGUGCCAGCAUUAUGCAAGCAAAGGACAGCAUCUUGUAAGUUAGAAACCACAGGACGGCCGUGUUGCCUUGGCUGCACAGAGAAAAGUGGAGGAAACUGUAAAUACGAUUGUAUACAAGUUUCCCUUCCCCUUCUGCCACAUCCAACAUAAAAGAAGUAAUCCAUAACAGCAUUUAGUAUCACACAGCCUCUUAGUAUAUUUAGCUUUUUAGGCAAGCAGCCCAUCACUCUACAAACUGGACAGUGCUCAGGGAUGGGGGUGUUCCAGCAGAUCCCCAUCUUGUUAAAUUGAGCUCAAUCAAGCCCAGGUGAAAAUGCUUGUUCUUCAAAACAGUAUGCAGAGACAUAGCAGUCCAGCUCCUGUGGCCUUUUGGCUGCCCCACCUACCCCAGGGGAAGCUUCUGGAGGCACUUGGUUGGAAACGUUGGAUUUACUACCCUCCAGCUUCCUCUCCUUAAAAUGGGUCUGGUUUGGUUUUGUGAUGCAGACAGGACGUGGCUGGCUUGGUGAGCUUGCUCGUAACCAGCAUGGGCAUCUUCCAGAGAGCCAAAACCUGGGGCAAGGAGGCGGCGUGCGAGAGGAAUCAGGACGGCGCAGCAUGGCCGGGCUGAGCAUUCAGGGGCAUUUUGAGAAAAGUCAACAAAAGCUCUCCGGUGUUUGUGUACUGUGAGGUGCUGAAGGCCAUCUCUGCAGCGCCCUUCUGCACAGCUGUCUCUGCCCACUAUACUGUUAUGCUGGCCUAUGUGGAGAGAGCAACACAAACAUAGUGACUACCAGAGAUGUAAGCACCCAAGGAAAAUUUAAAGUUAAGCCCUAUGAACAUUUGUAAUGGAAAUGCUGCCUCUGAACUGGACAACUUUGUACUUUCUGCAAGGAGCUGCUGAAGAGUGUUGGUGGGGAAGUACCUGCUCCUGCCUCAGCCCAGCGCUUCCCUCGGAAGAGGGCAGGGGCUGGAGCAGCAGCCUGGGGUGCCUGUCUGCAGGCUUGGCUGCAGCAGUCGGGAUGGCCCUGCUGCCCUUGGUACUGCUGUAGAGAUCUGUGGUCUCCUAUCUCGGCCAGUCUUGCUGCAGAUCUGGCCGGACGCAGCAAAGGAGUGAAGCCAUUUGUGCAGAAAAUAGCCAUCAGCCACAAGAGAAGGUAUCGUGGAAACUUCUGAUAGUUAACCACAAAGUGUUUCAAAUAAAAUGUACAGUACUGAAAAACGGGCUGAUGUGUGCAUGUCUGACACCUUCUGUGAAAAAGAGCUUGCAGCAAGAAAUUGUGCAACUGAACAAGAAGAUGAGAUCCUCCACACGAUAGAGAGGAUAAGCCAAGCCAGAUACGGCCACUUUGUGGGCAGGGGUUGGAAGGAGCUGGGGAACUGAGCUGCUCAGCACGGACAGACGUGUGAGAAGGGAUAGGCGCAGGGGAGGAGUUGUGCUUAUGGCUCAAAGUUAUCGAAUGAGCAAAAAGUCCAUGAUAACAUCAUCUGAAGGCAGAUGGAUCAGUUUACUGAGAGCAGAAAGUAUUUUAAAAAGAUACAGUGAUGCAAUGGAUUAAAAUGCUAGCAAUUUCAUAUUCUUGUCAUAAUAACACAGGUUAACCAAUAGUUAUGAACAGCUGUAAAACAUGACAAAAUGAAGCCAAGAGAAAAAGACUAUGAAAUACAUAUCAUUUCUAUAAGACCUUGGAGACCUUUUCACCAAUACCUGUAAAUUACUGUUUGGAUUUUGAGAAUUCAGUUGAAUUGUUAGAUGUUAUUAUUGUGAUCGUCAUGGACAGAGCAAUGAUACUUCCAGGUAACCUGGUGUCCAUAGACUCAUCUUUCCAAGCUAUGUAUGGGUUGUUCCUUAUGAACAUCUCUUAUUUAGCCUUUCACUCUUAAAAAUUAGCUUUUUAAGGCCCAGGUUAGUUUUACAUCUCUCAGGAUACAGUUUGUACUGGUUUCCAGAAGACGAAGUGCAGGCCAGAAACUGUUCCAUAGAAUUUUGCUGAUUUCACUUAGGAGGGAUAAAAGAGACUUGAAAAAUGUGAUGUGGAUCCACUGGUGAAAGAGGGAUAGGCCUUUGAGAGGAGAUUUUCAAGAAUUCGGGGUUUCACAGAGGCACUUAUUUAGCAAGCAACCAAAAACCAUGGAAGUUUCAUCCUCCAAACCAGAAUGUGUAGGAUUUCUAUUUGUACACGUUACUAGUCAUUUGGAGUACCACAGACAGCCCACAUACAUCACCAUUCCCAGGAAUAAAUACUUCCAGAAUUGAGAUUUCAUUUUGUACUGCUUUGCUUUCCUGGAGAAGAGGAGUUUUCCUUCGCUUGCUCACAUAACAGCCAGUAAGUGCAAGUCUUUUUUCAGGCUGUAAUAAACAACCCAUGAGGCUGAGUUGGCCUCAGCGAGUUGUCACUUUCCUCAUGAAUUUAUUUUGGUGUUUCUCUUUCUUUCCCUUUCUCUUUUUCUUUCCAUUGUUUCCGCCCUUUUCCCCCUGUUUUUCUCCCCUUUCUUCCCCCUUCUUUUCUUUCUUACUAUUACUAGAGAAUUGAAGAGUUGCCUUAAGAUUACAUGAGCAUGGAAGGAGGGUACACUCACUGCAGUGACAAGUGAUGAAGUGCAGAUGAGCUCCAGUAGUAACUUGGGUUUAGGACAGGGGGUCAGCAAGUCCUGACAACUUUCUCACACUCCUUUCCUCUGGGGCACUGAAUAAGUUGCUUUUCUGCCUCAGUUUCUCUAUCUGUAAAAAUGUAAGAACAGCGUGAUGAUGAUAAUUGGCUUCCCCCAAAGGGGUUGAGUGAAUUAAUUAGUUAAUAUCUUUAAAAUGCUUUGAAGAUGAAAAGUAUAGUGUUGAUAUAGCCCUGCUGAGAAUCUAGGACCAAGCAUUCAUAUUAAUGAGAGUAUGAUUUUGGAAGUUCAGCACGACAUGCAGUAAAAAAAAAAAAAGAAAAAAAAAGUGUAUUUAUAGUGGUGCAUUUAGUUAAUAUUCAUGGCUUUGUUCUCUGCUCAUAAGUUUGCAGCAAGAACAUGAAGAUGGGAGAGAGAGUAAGGGAUUAUUGUAGAACAGGGCAGAAUACAUGUUGUGGACUAAUCCAACAAGUCAUUUUGCCACCAUAAAACCAUCUUCAGACAGCUGCAAAGAUUUUCAUGUACUGGAGCUGGAACAGGAGAAAAGGAACAGAUCUUGCUAGAUCUGCUGCUAUAAUAAUAAUCCGUUUUCCCUUCCAGGCAAAGCCACAGGGCUAGACCUUGCUUGUUGUGGUGUUUAGUCACCUUUGCACUUUAUCUUACCUGCAAAUCUCAGGCUGGGAAUCAAAUUGCAGCCCUCCUCAGCAGGCUUCUUGUAGCUGGGCUGCCUGCUGGAGAGAGUGAAAAGAAUUUAGGCAAAAGAAUGAAAAAAGGCUGGAUUGCUUAAUCAUGAAGCAGCGCCAGGCUGAUGUAGGAUGCCGCUGUCUGUUAUAUCUCCAGGCAGCAUCAGGCUGAGGGUGAGGUCGUCUUGUAAUUUGGUGUCCUUCACUAAUGCACUCAGGAGGACGUGUGUAAACAGAGCAAGUGCAUUAUAUGCCUAUUCAUUGUUUAUUUCUAAAGAGGCCUAAUUUUUUCCUCAUGUUUAUUUUCUGAGUAAGAAUUACUGUGCUCAACAGUGUAAUUGUGCAUAAAAGAAAAAAAAUACCCUCGAGAACAUGUAAAAGUAAAAAUUGGGAUAUCGUUCCUCUAACUCUUCAGCUGUAGUCAUAAACCCAAAGUUCUAAGUUCUAACUUUUCUUAAUGGCUUGUGUGUUUGGGCAAUGUGUAUAGUAAAUCAAUUAUUCAAAUGAAUAAAUUAAUGUCAGUGGAUUGGAGCUCUGCAUUCCCUAAAGUUUUUCCAUUUUAUAGCUCCAUUUCAUCAUCUUCAGCACCUGUGUCUUUGGAAUGUAUUGCAAUGUGACAUCAGAUAUUUUAUGAAAUAAGCCACUUUUUUUUUUCUUUUUAGCUCCUAACAUAUAAGAGCAUUGCAUUCCAUAAUAAAAUACACUCAUUUGCCACAGAAAGAAUUGAAUUAGAUAUUCAAAUAUCAGUACAGUGUGCUAAAGGAAGUUAUAUACUAUCAGUUUUAGAUCUCUCUAUUCUAUUGCAUUAUUAUUUAAGAAAGGAACAUAGGAGGAUUAUGCCAAAGCCAUACCUGUCUAUACAGAAAAAGUCAUUUUUUCCUUUUUUUUUUUUUUUAAAGAUUGAAGACUUUUCAACAAAACACCAGCGGAAUAAAGAAAUCCUUUAGUGAGAGGCACUCACCGGGGAUUAGCUGUGAGUGGACUGAACAACUCGGUGGCUCCCUGGCGGGGUGACCUCUGACUCCCGGGUCGGAUGGCGACUCAUCUCGUGCCUCCUGGCUGAAGCAAGCUGAGGGCUCCCAACAAGUGUUUUCUCCGUCCUCACCGGUUUCCCUCCAUGCAGCGAUGGGCAGUGCCGAAGAUGAGCUCUGUGUUAUCACAGCUGCUAUUCCACAAAAGCGGGGGAAAAUGAUAAAGUAUAUAGAAUAUCAAAGGCUACGGUAACUGUUAUUGGAAGGAAACCGUAACCUCUUUUACCACCUAAAGGGACCUGUCUGCUUUCCUCCUCUGUAACUUCAGAGCUGCUUUUCCAGCAGGGGUUUUCCCCACAUAGCAGCAGUGCUUCAAUGCACUGAGGAGUUAAAAGGCGGCAAGAGUGGCUUUUGGAAACCUUUCUGCUAUGGAUGGUAACUCUACCCAGGCCUGAUGGUAUCACGGAUGCUGUGGUGGUGGCAGAGAAAGGUUUCAAGGGAGCCGCUUGCACAAGCUCUAACUGCUAUGUCUGAAUUGAACCCAUUUACUUCAGCUAGGAAGUUAAAGCAAUGUGAUUGGGAGGCAAAACACAGUAAGAAGAGAAGCCAAAAAUUAAACUGAAACCUUACAUGUAACGGAGGUCAGAUUUUGUGUGUAAGGCUAAUAUGUAGAUGAGUAUCACUGAACAAAUGAGUUAUGCAGAUUAACUCUGCCUUUGAGAAAAUUGGUUAAAUGCUAUGCUAUCCACUGUUUUACACAGUCUUUGAAAUCCUGGCUGUUUUACAAAGCAGUCAACUGCAUCUUUUAUCAGGUUAUCAAGGGCUUGGAUCAAUUCAUGAUGAAUAAGUGUCCAACCUACUCUAUUGAAAGCUCUGUCAGUCAUUGUAGUAUACCGGUAGGUUUUCAAGAAACAGCUGUGGAAAAGGAACCUUUCCCUCGUAGCUAUUGUUGGAGAAAAAGUAACAAAUCGCUUUCAUUGUUGGAAGGGAGUGUUGGCUCACACAAAGUCAGGUUAAGUGAUGUGUGUUAUUUUUUAUGUGAAUAAACUGGAUGGAGUUAGGCAAACCUCCAGUGUAUUAAAGCAUUGCACCUUAAAAUGA
This is a non-coding RNA of Anas platyrhynchos (mallard), 5897 nucleotides long. NCBI's taxonomy places the organism in Eukaryota, Metazoa, Chordata, Aves, Anseriformes, Anatidae. The record is from RefSeq and is a predicted model, not a curated record.